Long non-coding RNA from Lynx canadensis (Canada lynx), 3573 nucleotides. RefSeq lists it as uncharacterized. Lineage: Eukaryota; Metazoa; Chordata; Mammalia; Carnivora; Felidae. The transcript is spliced from 5 exons. The record is from RefSeq and is a predicted model, not a curated record.
AGAAGAUGAAACUUUCAUUUACCUUUACCCUAUACGUGGAGAGAUUCUGUGCAUAACCGCUUAAACCAACAGCUGGUAGAUUUUGAUGCAUUUUUAUCUGCUUACACAAGAUCAACUCCCACCAUAAACACUGAAUUCUGUUUAUAACAGAAGGGCAGGAUCCGCGGGUAGCAUAACCAGAGCGCUCCAGGCUCUUUUUUUCCCCCCUUUUCUCAGAGACUCCAGAGGAAUGUGCCUUUGUACUGCCUCACUAGCAUCCCUAAAUCAUGAUUAAUUUAAAGCCUUUUCUCUCCUUAGUUAGGCCUGACACAAGCAACCGCUUUUCUGUCACAUCGAUUUUUCUGUCCUUGCAGAUUCGAAGCCAGGGUUGAGUCCUCCUAACAGGGCGAGUUCUCUGACAAGGAAGUUUUGCAAGCAAAUUUACAGCUGGAGUCAAGCUCGUCAGUGAGGGCCAGAGGGGAACUGUCGCAAUCCACUGGGUGUUUGAAAAAUGCCUCUAACGUGUGUGGGCUAGAAUACAUUUUGUUUUUUCUGUGGGCAUAUUCAUUUAACAAGGGCAGCCUUUGAGGAACGAUCAAAAACUGUUUGUCAUUUUUCCAAAUCAUCUCUCUCUGCGGUGACCAUGACUUAAUCCUGAAGGAAAACAAGUCUUUUCCCUUCUGGUCUCUGUGCUCUCGAAGGACAUUUGGGCCUGAAGUCCCAGGACUUAAGGCUGAUCCUGGCACAGAUGAGGAUAGGAAGAGGUGACUAUGCAAUACUGAAGCUUGAGGAAGACCGAUGGGAGUUCAACCUAAAUUAGACUCGCUCGGGAACAAACUGUCAAAGUUGUUUGAAGUAAAUAAGCAACCUGGAUCCCAGCCCCUUCCUUUCCUUCCUUCAUUCCUUUGUUCUUGGCUUCCUCAUUCCCCCUCCCUACUUCCCUCCCUUCUUCCCUCUCUCUCCAUCUUCCUCUCUCCUCUUGUCUUUUCUUUCUCGCUUUCCCACCCUUUUGUCCUGAAGCGGGAGAAGAGCAAGCUAACACCCAGUUGUAAGUUCUGGAUAAUCAAGAUGUUAUUCCUCAAACGGAGAGAAUUUCCAACACAAAGCCAGAUACCUUUCUACGUGUUACGCAGUCCUUCUAGUCAAAUACUGUGGCCAUGGAGGUAAGGUCAAGCAAGAAAUUGGCAGCAACUCUUCAGAACACGUAUACAACAGCACGGGACCCAUUUACUCCAAUGGAGAAAGGGAGUGUAUCAUGGAAAAGUCGCCGUGGGAAUCACUGCAAGUGGGGCAGAAGCCCCAAUCUGAAUUUGCUACAAGGAUAUUUGGAAGAAUGGCUGCCUUAACUCAGCCAUAGGAUCUGGACAAGGACAGAGGAAAUGGGGUUGGAGAGAAAAGGGAGUUUCUGAGAGGCGUGCACAAGGGAAAAUCAAAGGGACUUAUUGCAGUGUAGGUGUCUAGUGGGUUAGCAUUAAAGGACACAUGUAAGUAGAGGACAGCGGUGACUAAAAGCCAUAAACAGGUGACAUUUUCAUCAGCUGUGAUAGAUGCAAAGUAUCAAAUUCAAAGACUGUUAAACAACCUGCCAUCUCUCUCUUUCUUUCAUUGUUAUCUGUCAUCUAGCUAGCUAGAUAUCAAGUUACUUAUCUCUCCACCAAAUCUCACUUUUAACAAGAGAGAAGUCAUUCACAAAGAAGUGUACAUUAUUGCAAGAAAAGAUAAGUGCAAGAUAAAUAAAAAUUGAAGCAAAGGGAAAGUGAACACAGAACAAAUACAAGGAACUGUGCACAAAAUGUGCCUGACAUGAGGUCCUCUACACAUGCUUGGGUAGACCAGUAGGAGUAGUUGAAUAAGGUAUGGUGAGGAGGGAUUCGUAAAUAAUGACUUAUGUAUUCUAUCAGCUAGCUACGAUAAGAAUCACUUAUGAUGGACAUAAUAUCCAUGUAGUCAAAGUAGACUAGAUAUCUAGAAGAAGCACCACUAUUCCUUAUAUGUAACCAGGGGGUUUCUCCCAGGCCUCCCCAGAAUGGCUUUCAUGCAAAUAUACUUACUGUAAAUCUGGAGACAGAUUUUAUAGAAGUGUUUAUUAGAAUAUUUCUCAGUAUGGGAUGAUGGCCCAGUAUCAAGUACAGUUCAAUAUAAGCUGACCUUUGGGUUUGGAGCCAGGUAGGCCAACAGUUCUAUGCUACUCUAUGAUGGUCAAGUAUGUCUGAGAAGCUAUGUUCAGUUGUGGGACAUACUUUAUCAACGAAAAUUAUCAUUUACAAAGCACCCUGUGCAUACUAUAUUUUUUAUAGAUGCUUGCAGAAUUAAUAAAUGUUUGAAUCAACGUUUGUAGGGACAGGGUUAUAUUUCACUCGUGUAAGAGAGGCUGUUAUUUAUUUAUUUUUUUCCCUCUCCAUGCAAUUGUAUGUCAGUUGUCUACCUUUAGGGUUAAACUGUGAGUUCCACGUGAACAGGAAUUUUGUCUUGUUUGUCUUUGUAGCCCCAAUCACGUCCGGUAUAGGAAGGCAGUCAGAUAAUAGUUUGUUGAAGAAAUAAAUGACUGAGUAAGCACACCGCAGAUUCACACACAGAACUGUGUAUGUGAGAGACUGAUCUAUCAUUUUAUCUCAGGAUAGUUUCAUCUCAGGGUAAGGCAGAAAUGUAAAAUAAUCCUAAAGUUUUGAGGCAAGGUAUUUGUCAUGGAAAAACCACCGGGAAGAAAUGUUUAAAGGGCAUUUGUGUUUAUUCUUGUGGCAUAGAGAACUCCCUUCUCUCUUGUGCAGUAAACAGGGCUCAGCAGCCUAUAUUCUUUCACUGCCUUUCAUACUGUUAGGGCAGCUGCAUUGUUGAACUCCAACAAGCUGUCUGCUUGCGUACUGGUGUAGAGGAUGUUUAGUUGGCGCCGGUGUUAGAGGGGAAGGCUCACAUCCAAUUUCCUCGCCACCUUUGAUUACUGAUCCUCCAGGGAGACGAUUUUAUGAAAAGUGAGAAAAAAUUACAUUUUCCAAAUCCUUCAAUUUCCACAUCCUCCAACUUGUUCUCCAUCUUUAGAGACAGCACACAGUUGUGGUUGAAAGCCUAGGCUCCGGAGCCCCAGGAUCAGAGUUCAACUUUUGGCUGCACCACUUAUGUAUCGUGUGGCACUGGGCCCACCACUUAACCAUUUGUGCCUCAGUGUUUUCAUCAGUAAAGGAGAAAUAAUAAUACUACUACCUACAUCAAAGAGGUGUUGGAAGGAUUAAAUAAUUCAUGCAAAGCAGUUAAAAGUGACUGCCACAUAGUACUCAAAAGAUGUUAGCUAAUAUUAUUAUUGUUCACUGAUGCUUCCUUGCUGUUGGUUUUUGCCAUGUUUCAUAUAAAAAUAUUUAUAGUCAAGAAUAAAAUGAGAAUAUCGUCACAUAUCUAGUAUGCUCAAAAUAUUACUAGCCUAUACAGGGAAUAUUAACAUUGCCCUCUAAGACCUUAUGAUCUACGUACUGAGGCAAAGUACAGAACUCACGAGAAAUAGGAACAUGUACAAAUAGGAGUAGGAACAUGUACAACAAUGCAAACAACACCACAUGGUGGUAACUUGCCAUUUGGCAAAUCAUGUACAUAUAUAUAUGGACA